This 66-nucleotide transfer RNA is filed under the name Silvanus bidentatus. RNAcentral's name for it is "tRNA-Phe". It matches the Rfam family "tRNA". From Rfam's summary of the family: Transfer RNA (tRNA) molecules are approximately 80 nucleotides in length. Their secondary structure includes four short double-helical elements and three loops (D, anti-codon, and T loops). Further hydrogen bonds mediate the characteristic L-shaped molecular structure. tRNAs have two regions of fundamental functional importance: the anti-codon, which is responsible for specific mRNA codon recognition, and the 3' end, to which the tRNAs corresponding amino acid is attached (by aminoacyl-tRNA synthetases). tRNAs cope with the degeneracy of the genetic code in two manners: having more than one tRNA (with a specific anti-codon) for a particular amino acid; and 'wobble' base-pairing, i.e. permitting non-standard base-pairing at the 3rd anti-codon position. The record is from RNAcentral. Lineage: Eukaryota; Metazoa; Arthropoda; Insecta; Coleoptera; Silvanidae.
AUUUAAAUAGCUUAAUUAGAGCAAAACAUUGAAGAUGUUGAGGUGAUAAAAUUUUAUCUUUAAAUA